UUGGAAUUCAUGCGUUAGAUCCAGGGACGUGCACAGGUACGGGCUAUUGUUGCCUAGGAAACUGCCCGUUUGCCCUGAUUGGCUUAGCUGGCCCUCUGGUAAAAGAGCCUAAAUACAUUUCUUUCUUCAUUUUUUUAUUUUUUAUUUUUUGCUUUGUUGGCUGCAUUGAUACACUAAUACGCCAAUCAUUACUAAAGUUAAAUCAAAUUAAAUCGCUAUAUCAUCCAAUCUUGCCCUCCGCGAGGCCCUCCACCCCCCAGUCACGUGACUUUGUUUACAC
Long non-coding RNA from Etheostoma cragini (Arkansas darter), 280 nucleotides. RefSeq lists it as uncharacterized. The record is from RefSeq and is a predicted model, not a curated record. The transcript is spliced from 4 exons. NCBI's taxonomy places the organism in Eukaryota, Metazoa, Chordata, Actinopteri, Perciformes, Percidae.